UUCAUUGGAACUUCUUUGAUGUAACCUGAAGACAACUGUCAGCACUUAAUAUUUCUAAGAAAAAUGCAAGCACAGCACAUGGCUUUUUACAAUUAGACAUACAUGGGUGUUUGCUUUGUUUCCCAAGAAGAUGACUGUGAGCCAAGGAUUAGAAGACUGCUCAUUUAUACAGGAAGUGAUCACAGGGAACAUUCCAAGAAGACAGGAUCAGGAAGAAAGCCAAUGAAAGCUUUGGGGGAAGUCUGCGAGACAGAAUAUGAUUCAGCUACCCCAAAGGAUGAGAAGGAAGCAGGGGUGUGCAUCCACCAACUCCCUAACCAAUGUUGACUGACAGCUGUCUUAAAGGAAUCUUUUGGUUGUACCUAACAAAGACAUCUUGAUAACUCCAAAAGCCUAAAAUAUUAUUGCUCAUGAAUUGAAGACAUGCUACAUAUGGAAGGGUAAUUUUUUUCUGGAAUGAAUCUUGGCCCAGAGUAGUAAUCUUUAUACUAUGUGGAAAAAAGAAAUUAGCUGAAUAUGAAUCACUCCAUUUUCUGGCUCAGAACUGAAAAUCCAAGCAGUGAAAUUCUUCCUCUUGACCCAGUCUAAAGGCAAUUGAAGGGUAUAUGCCGGGACGCCUCGGUGGC
Molecule: long non-coding RNA, 626 nt
Organism: Canis lupus familiaris (dog)
Lineage: Eukaryota; Metazoa; Chordata; Mammalia; Carnivora; Canidae
Exons: 3
Source: RefSeq, a predicted model, not a curated record